CGAGCCGUAAACAUUGUCUGCUAGUUUCCUGUGAUUAAUUUUGUGGGAGACGUAAGCAAAUGCGUUAAGCAGACCGCCUGGGGAGUACGGCCGCAAGGCUAAAACUCAAAGGAAUUGACGGGGGAGCGCACAACCGGUGGAGCAUGUGGUUUAAUUCGAUACGAAGCGAAAAACCUUACCCGGAUUUGACAUGUACCUGCACGUCCUAGGAAACUAGGAUUUCUUCGAGAGUGGUACACAGGUGA
This 245-nucleotide ribosomal RNA is filed under the name uncultured bacterium. Its description in RNAcentral is "partial 16S ribosomal RNA". It matches the Rfam family "Bacterial small subunit ribosomal RNA", at positions 796 to 1041 of the family's 1533-position model. The record is from RNAcentral.